GGGCUCAUCGUCUAAUGGAUAAGACAUCAACCUUCUAAGUUGUAAAUGUAGGUUCAAUUCCUACUGGGCUCAC
RNAcentral lists this transfer RNA (73 nucleotides) under Callipsygma wilsonis. Its description in RNAcentral is "tRNA-Arg". It matches the Rfam family "tRNA". Rfam says of the family: Transfer RNA (tRNA) molecules are approximately 80 nucleotides in length. Their secondary structure includes four short double-helical elements and three loops (D, anti-codon, and T loops). Further hydrogen bonds mediate the characteristic L-shaped molecular structure. tRNAs have two regions of fundamental functional importance: the anti-codon, which is responsible for specific mRNA codon recognition, and the 3' end, to which the tRNAs corresponding amino acid is attached (by aminoacyl-tRNA synthetases). tRNAs cope with the degeneracy of the genetic code in two manners: having more than one tRNA (with a specific anti-codon) for a particular amino acid; and 'wobble' base-pairing, i.e. permitting non-standard base-pairing at the 3rd anti-codon position. The record is from RNAcentral. Lineage: Eukaryota; Viridiplantae; Chlorophyta; Ulvophyceae; Bryopsidales; Halimedaceae.